UUGGGAGUGUGAUAUGAGUUUGCCUCCAUCCGCUAUUGGGAGAACACAAACUCAUCCCGUAGGAUAAAGCCUCUCCAUCCGCUGUUGGGGGAGUGCUCCUUUGGGUAUUUGAUAUACGCCAAUGGGAUGAUUGAUUGAAUUUUGAUCAUGUAUUUAUUUUGAUUUGACUUUUGGGGUUCCUACUCAGCAUUGCUGAAUUUUCUUUGUUUUUGAUUUUCAGAGCAGCCUCCCUCUAGUACUAAAUCGGAUUCCAAUGGAGAGCGAACCUUCCUCUACCGCUAGGUAGAGCCACUUGGAUGACUCUUGAAGUUAACUUUUCUAUUUGUAAUUUGAUGAAUAAAUGAAUUGUAAUAAAUGUUUAUAGAUGAUGAAUAAAGUGAUGUUUAUUUAUUUGGCCUGUGUGAAAAAAAAAAAAA
Molecule: long non-coding RNA, 416 nt
Filed under: Musa acuminata (dwarf banana)
Lineage: Eukaryota; Viridiplantae; Streptophyta; Magnoliopsida; Zingiberales; Musaceae
Description: long non-coding RNA (MACU_LNC010834)
Source: RNAcentral